GAUGAACGCUAGCUACAGGCUUAACACAUGCAAGUCGAGGGUCAGCAUGGUCUUAGCUUGCUAAGGCCGAUGGCGACCGGCGCACGGGUGAGUAACACGUAUCCAACCUGCCGUCUACUCUUGGACAGCCUUCUGAAAGGAAGAUUAAUACAAGAUGGCAUCAUGAGUCCACAUGUUCACAUGAUUAAAGGUAUUCCGGUAGACGACGGGGAUGCGUUCCAUUAGAUAGUAGGCGGGGUAACGGCCCACCUAGUCUUCGAUGGAUAGGGGUUCUGAGAGGAAGGUCCCCCACAUUGGAACUGAGACACGGUCCAAACUCCUACGGGAGGCAGCAGUGAGGAAUAUUGGUCAAUGGGCGAGAGCCUGAACCAGCCAAGUAGCGUGAAGGAUGACUGCCCUAUGGGUUGUAAACUUCUUUUAUAAAGGAAUAAAGUCGGGUAUGCAUACCCGUUUGCAUGUACUUUAUGAAUAAGGAUCGGCUAACUCCGUGCCAGCAGCCGCGGUAAUACGGAGGAUCCGAGCGUUAUCCGGAUUUAUUGGGUUUAAAGGGAGCGUAGAUGGAUGUUUAAGUCAGUUGUGAAAGUUUGCGGCUCAACCGUAAAAUUGCAGUUGAUACUGGAUAUCUUGAGUGCAGUUGAGGCAGGCGGAAUUCGUGGUGUAGCGGUGAAAUGCUUAGAUAUCACGAAGAACUCCGAUUGCGAAGGCAGCCUGCUAAGCUGCAACUGACAUUGAGGCUCGAAAGUGUGGGUAUCAAACAGGAUUAGAUACCCUGGUAGUCCACACGGUAAACGAUGAAUACUCGCUGUUUGCGAUAUACGGCAAGCGGCCAAGCGAAAGCGUUAAGUAUUCCACCUGGGGAGUACGCCGGCAACGGUGAAACUCAAAGGAAUUGACGGGGGCCCGCACAAGCGGAGGAACAUGUGGUUUAAUUCGAUGAUACGCGAGGAACCUUACCCGGGCUUAAAUUGCAGAUGAAUUACGGUGAAAGCCGUAAGCCGCAAGGCAUCUGUGAAGGUGCUGCAUGGUUGUCGUCAGCUCGUGCCGUGCGGUGUCGGCUUAAGUGCCAUAACGAGCGCAACCCUUGUUGUCAGUUACUAACAGGUUCCGCUGAGGACUCUGACAAGACUGCCAUCGUAAGAUGUGAGGAAGGUGGGGAUGACGUCAAAUCAGCACGGCCCUUACGUCCGGGGCUACACACGUGUUACAAUGGGGGGUACAGAGGGCCGCUACCACGCGAGUGGAUGCCAAUCCCCAAAACCUCUCUCAGUUCGGACUGGAGUCUGCAACCCGACUCCACGAAGCUGGAUUCGCUAGUAAUCGCGCAUCAGCCACGGCGCGGUGAAUACGUUCCCGGGCCUUGUACACACCGCCCGUCAAGCCAUGGGAGCCGGGGGUACCUGAAGUGCGUAACCGCGAGGAGCGCCCUAGGGUA
RNAcentral lists this ribosomal RNA (1432 nucleotides) under uncultured organism. RNAcentral's name for it is "16S ribosomal RNA". It matches the Rfam family "Bacterial small subunit ribosomal RNA". The record is from RNAcentral.